Molecule: long non-coding RNA, 1652 nt
Organism: Nothoprocta perdicaria
Lineage: Eukaryota; Metazoa; Chordata; Aves; Tinamiformes; Tinamidae
Exons: 3
Source: RefSeq, a predicted model, not a curated record
UGUAUGGGGAGCUUUGUGCUGGUGCUUCCUGUGCUCCCUCUGAACUUUUGUUUCCAGGAUUGUYGUGGCAGAGGCUUUGAUUGCAAUUACAGGUCAUCUGUGCUGCAGAGUGAGCAGGUAGGAUGCAGGUCACCCACUCCUUGGAACUACAGCCCACUGGAAGACUACAUCCCUGGUUUUGCCAGGAUGACUCCAAGCACUGCAAACCAGAUGCAGGGAGUGCCUUCUAGCAGCUCUACUCACUUCUCCUCAGGAGGGCUAUGCCCAGUGCAUCCGUCACAGCCUCCGAAUCGUCAGUGGAUGUGCCUAGGCCCUCAGUGCUUCGCAUUGCUCACAUCUGAAUGUGUAACUGAGCUCUGCAGCCUSCUAGGAUGAUCUUGAUCCAUGAUGUUUGCUGUCAGCAAGGUCCUCAUGGGAGCUGCUGCACAGACGUCCGUAUUUUACUUCCUUUGCAAAGAGGAUCCAAGCUGCCAGGGCAGUUCUUUAUCUUAAUAUUACCUAGUUUUGCAUUCACCUGUGUACAAUUAAAUGGCUAAUAUAUUGAGGGGAAAAAAAAUCAGCCAGGAGUAGGUAUCAGCAAUACCUAUAGGAGGUGGCUGUGUUACUUCAGCAAAAUAUUAUUGUUAUUAAAUGUUCCCACCAGAUACUUGGACAGCUUGCACUACAACUGCAAAGCUAACAUUUCAUUAUAGGAAGAUAUAUUUUCAUAAUGGAUUGCAAUUUACCAAAAUACACAGAGGGCCUCAGAUUUGUCAGUGUGCAUUUGCUCUGUAAGAAAUACAUCUCACUGAAAACCAGAUGUCAAAAUUAGCAGUAGAGCUUGUGGAACGUGGGGAGGAAAGCUGACAUUUCAGAGUUGGCAGUCCAGCUGUGUUAACGGCAUCAGGGAGCCUUUGUGUUAUUAAGUACAGUGUUUAGCAGUGGAAUUGCAUUAGGAGUUGAUUUAAAUUAUGAGUGGUGGGAAAUCAGUGCACUGUGUUGGGGGAGGAAAACUGCAAUCAGGGAUGAGAUCUGGAACCCCUUUCCCCCCUCUUUUUCUAUUUGUUUGCUCUCUCCCCGUAUGGCAGAAUUCCAAGCAGUUGUAGCAGCAGUUUCAGUUCUGCGGAAAUUGCUGGGGAUUGCCAUGAGGGAUGUGAUUUGGAGAGGGGCAGGGGAGACCGGUUUGAAAGCUCUUGUAAAUGUCUGAGUAACAGUUGUGGAAAUGUAAAUUAUUGAUUCAUAUCCUCCUGGUUUCAAAUGUGCUUUAUCUUCCUUGUAAUUUAACCUAGUUUUCAGGGUUUUUUUUUAUCUGUAGCUUUCUAGAAGUAGUGUUACCCAUGCAUUUUAUCCCAUCUCUUUCUCUUGUUCUUAGAUGUUAGCUAGUGAGUCAGUGCACUGAUUAGCUUGACUAAUUUGUUGGCAUAGAUUUCAGUCAGGGGAAAAAGGGUAUGCAUUUUAAAAAGUGAAGAUAAUUAACCAUUGAACAACAUGGGCACUGGUGGAUUCUCCAUUACUAGCAAUUGUAAUUUCAAGAGGUUCAUUUUCCUAUGAGAUGUGUCUAGUUUUUCACAGUAAUUAAUUCAGCAUAAUGGACAAUUCAGUGGACAAUGAAAUUUGAUGAUCACAGUUCUCAAACUUAGUAGUUUGCUAUCAUGCUUAAUUCUGUUUCUGCU